UACAGAGGGGGCAAGCGUUGUUCGGAAUUACUGGGCGUAAAGGGCGCGUAGGCGGCCUGCUAAGUCGAACGUGAAAUCCCUCGGCUUAACCGAGGAACUGCCUGCCAGACUGCAAGGCUCGAGACCGGGAGAGGUGAGUGGAAUUCCAGGUGUAGCGGUGAAAUGCGUAGAUAUCUGGAGGAACACCGGUGGCGAAGGCGGCGUUCUGGACUGUUUCUGACACUGAAAAACGAAAGCCAGGGGAGCAAACGGG
Molecule: ribosomal RNA, 253 nt
Filed under: uncultured bacterium
Lineage: Bacteria
Description: partial 16S ribosomal RNA
Rfam family: Bacterial small subunit ribosomal RNA
Source: RNAcentral